AUACGUAGGUGGCAAGCGUUGUCCGGAAUUAUUGGGCGUAAAGCGCGCGCAGGUGGUUCCUUAAGUCUGAUGUGAAAGCCCCCGGCUCACCCGGGGAGGGUCAUUGGAAACUGGGGAACUUGAGUGCGGAAGAGGAUAGUGGCAUUCCAAGUGUAGCGGUGAAAUGCGUAGAGAUUUGGAGGAACACCAGUGGCGAAGGCGACGGUCUGGUCUGUAACUGACACUGAGGCGCGAAAGCGUGGGGAGCAAACAGGAUUAGAUACCCUGGUAGUCCACGCCGUAAACGAUGAGUGCUAAGUGUUGGGGGGUUUCCGCCCCUCAGUGCUGCAGCUAACGCAUUAAGCACUCCGCCUGGGGAGUACGGUCGCAAGACUGAAACUCAAAUGAAUUGGCGGGG
Molecule: ribosomal RNA, 397 nt
Filed under: uncultured bacterium
Lineage: Bacteria
Description: partial 16S ribosomal RNA
Rfam family: Bacterial small subunit ribosomal RNA
Source: RNAcentral